This 76-nucleotide transfer RNA is filed under the name Chlorobiota bacterium. RNAcentral's name for it is "tRNA-Val". It matches the Rfam family "tRNA". From Rfam's summary of the family: Transfer RNA (tRNA) molecules are approximately 80 nucleotides in length. Lineage: Bacteria; Pseudomonadati; Chlorobiota. The record is from RNAcentral.
GGGCGAGUAGCUCAGCUGGUCUAGAGCGCCUGCCUUACAAGCAGGAUGUCGGGGGUUCAAAUCCCUCUUCGCCCAC